Molecule: ribosomal RNA, 117 nt
Filed under: Cavia aperea (Brazilian guinea pig)
Lineage: Eukaryota; Metazoa; Chordata; Mammalia; Rodentia; Caviidae
Source: RNAcentral
AUCUACGGCAAUACCACCCUGAAAGCGCCCGAUCUCGUCUGAUCUUGGAAGCUAAGCAGGGUUGGGCCUCGUUAGUACUUGGAUGGGAGAAUUUGUGUGGAUUUAGGGAUUUGGAUG